Long non-coding RNA from Priapulus caudatus, 556 nucleotides. RefSeq lists it as uncharacterized. The transcript is spliced from 3 exons. The record is from RefSeq and is a predicted model, not a curated record. NCBI's taxonomy places the organism in Eukaryota, Metazoa, Priapulida, Priapulimorpha, Priapulimorphida, Priapulidae.
CGUCUUGUCAUUUGUAAUCUGUGACUAAGACAAGAUUGUACAAAACGGACAAGCUCCUAUUUAUGAUAAGACUCACUACUCGCUGAGACCAUACACCACGAGGCAUGAUGCCAGCCAUCAAACAUGUAAAGUAGGCAGUAUUCGCUGCCACUCUUGUUUGUGUUAGACGUGGAAUUGAUGACAGCUCAUCAGCACUCCAAACUCGCGUGAAUGGAGAGCUAUCGCCUAGGAUGUUGCUGCCCAAGAGCUGGUCUUCGAGCUCAUCGGGUUCUCCUGCCAAGUACAUAAACAGUGUUGGCUUAUUACCUCGAUCCAUGUUGUCACUGCCCAAUGGCUGCUCAUCGGGUUCUCCUGCCAAGUACAUAAGUAAUUGUAUUACAGUUGAAUAAGUACUACAUAAACGUUUACUAUUGCUUAAACAUAACUGAAAGUUUGUUCUUAUAUACUUCUCUUCUUCGGUCUCGCUCUUAUACUCUUCUAGAAACUUGAGCCUCCAAGGGCCUGUGAUAUAACGUAUGACUUGGACAGUGAAAUUUACUUGAAAAUACGUUAGUUG